Lycium ferocissimum is the source of this 2100-nucleotide long non-coding RNA. RefSeq lists it as uncharacterized. The record is from RefSeq and is a predicted model, not a curated record. NCBI's taxonomy places the organism in Eukaryota, Viridiplantae, Streptophyta, Magnoliopsida, Solanales, Solanaceae. The transcript is spliced from 4 exons.
AAAAUUCAGAUAUACUGUACAGGUUAAACCAAAUUGGAAAUAUUACUUUAACAAAAGCAAGAACUGCUAGGAAUAAGAAUGUCGACAAACAAGGACAUCGCAUUGCAUAGACUUCAAAAGACUAAGGAUAUUGACUCGCUGAUUGAAAUAUGCGAUGUAGUGAUAUGCACAAAUGUUUCCCAAGAGAAAACAAUUUUUGACAUAUGCUUUACAACUUGAAGCUAAUUAUUUCACUUUGCCGAAUUUGAUUUUAUUAGUUUAAUUAAUUGAGUUGAUAUUGAGAGGCAGUUAAUGAAUUCACGCACUCCUACUUUUUUUUUUUUUGGUUUAGUUGAUUGAUGAGUGGAGGUAGGGUGGGUUUUUUGGCUUACAUAUGAUAUCAUAUCAUUGUGUAGCAUUUGGUUUCAGUGCUGGUGAGGAACUCACAAGAAUGUGAGAUUUAUGCCUAUGUGAGCUCAUCAGACUUAGCUAUGAAGAUUGAAGCUUAAAGGAUCGUCGUCCUUUAGAUUUCCAGUUUCUUUUUCCGAAGUAUUCCACAGCCAACUCCCCAAGGAGCUCAAGGGGAACCCUGCUAUUAUCGUUGCCGGUCAAACAUCAAGACUGUGUGUGGAAAUUUGGCUUUGAAUUGUGUACAAUAAUUUUCGUAAUAUACAAGACAGAAGAACAAUUCCAGAAGGUACUUUUCUAUGUUACAUGGCCAAUACUUCGAUCAGCAAGGAGAAGGUAAAUUGCUUCUAUUUAUAUGUGAGCGCUCUCUCAUUUGUUAACUUAAUUAGAUGCUACUGAUCCAUACAUGAGUAGUUUUGAAAUAUGGAUGUGGUAAUGUAUUUGUUGCUGGUAAUCUCUUAUUUCCUUUUUGUUUACACUUUUCUGAAAGGGGACUAUACUUAUCACCAAAGAUAAUGAGCAGGCGUCCCUUAAAUUCUGGAAUUUGACUUGCACAGACAAUUUGUUAGUAUUACCACUCUAUGAUUAAAUUGGUUGUUGCCUAUGAUGGUAUACUCUAAAUGUAUGGCACUUUUAUGUCUAGACAUAGUGUUGGAUGAAGCAUAAGCUUGACGGGUUCAAUUGUACCCAAUAUUUUCGACGCAGAGCACGAACUCAUAUAUAAUUUCAAAAGUGUAAUGGGUUCAGUAGUAAGAAUCUAAAAGUUGAAUCCAUGAAAUUUAAUUUGGAUGCGCCCCUUUGGCGAAAAUGUGACGGUAAUUGCAUAACCAAUAUCCUUUAGUUCAUAUAUAACUCAAGCAUGGAAGUUACUCUACACUAGGUAGGUACAAUUGCAAAAUUUGCUAGAUCUUUUUUAGGAUUAGUGUUGUAUAUAAGAGAUAUGGCAUAGUGAACCUUCAGAACUUCAUCUUGAAAGUUCACAUCAUUUCUAAGUGUGAUUCCAUCUAUUCUACAAGUUAGCUAAACACCUACAAAAUGAAAAAGAAGAGUACUAUCAAAGUACUUCAUGCAUCUGUUGUAUAUGCUUUUUAAUGUUUAUUCUCUGUUGAAAAUUUGAGUAAAAAGUUGUCAGUACUAUGACGUGUUGUUGAUUGGCUUAACUUCUUACUUGGAUUGUUAACAUAGUAUUCCUGAGCCUGAAUUGGGUUGUUCCUCUGACCGAGAUUGUAGUUUUACAUAAGCAUAUGGUAUCCGAUCUUCUUAAGCCCCUAACUUUUAUUCCUCGUGACGUUACCAUAGUUGAUCAUUUCCCUUUGUUGAAAAGCAGUGAUGCUUGAAGAAUAUUUGUGCAUAUUUCAUGCAGGAGAAUUUUUAAAGUAUGUUAAUGAAGUCAUCCUUUUAGUUUAUUGUCAAAACAACAGCUUUGUAAUUUCACAGUGUAUUGUAAGGCCUUUACAAUGAUUUUUGUUAAACAAACUAUAUCUAAGAUCUACAAAUUGGAUGAACGAUUUUAUUAGUCAUUAUUGGUCUUAUUGUGUUCCGAUGAAGUAUUCUUCAGUGUAAAAUUAAGUAGUUAUUGAUAUACUUCUAAAUCAAUAUAUUUGCAAAUGUUUAUAGUUGUGCUGUAUCUGCAUCACAUAAGGUUACACAAUAUGAGCUGUAUGUUUUCCAUGUGCGACUUUUUCAUUCAUUUAAUUUAGUGUUUACUCCUUU